RNAcentral lists this microRNA precursor (60 nucleotides) under Petromyzon marinus (sea lamprey). Its description in RNAcentral is "Pma-Mir-130-P1o2_pre stem-loop". Lineage: Eukaryota; Metazoa; Chordata; Hyperoartia; Petromyzontiformes; Petromyzontidae. The record is from RNAcentral.
GUCCUUUUUAUAUUGUGCUACUGUGUCCUCUGCGAAGUAGUGCAAUGUGAAAAGGGCAUU